AUUUAAUUAAAAAAGGGAUUUUUUAGGUUUUUUUACCUGCUCAGAUUGAACGCUGGCGGCAGGCUUAACACAUGCAAGUCGAGCGGAGAGAGGUAGCUUGCUACUGAUCUUAGCGGCGGACGGGUGAGUAAUGCUUAGGAAUCUGCCUAUUAGUGGGGGACAACAUUUCGAAAGGAAUGCUAAUACCGCAUACGUCCUACGGGAGAAAGCAGGGGAUCUUCGGACCUUGCGCUAAUAGAUGAGCCUAAGUCGGAUUAGCUAGUUGGUGGGGUAAAGGCCUACCAAGGCGACGAUCUGUAGCGGGUCUGAGAGGAUGAUCCGCCACACUGGGACUGAGACACGGCCCAGACUCCUACGGGAGGCAGCAGUGGGGAAUAUUGGACAAUGGGCGCAAGCCUGAUCCAGCCAUGCCGCGUGUGUGAAGAAGGCCUUAUGGUUGUAAAGCACUUUAAGCGAGGAGGAGGCUACUUUAGAUAAUACCUAGAGAUAGUGGACGUUACUCGCAGAAUAAGCACCGGCUAACUCUGUGCCAGCAGCCGCGGUAAUACAGAGGGUGCAAGCGUUAAUCGGAUUUACUGGGCGUAAAGCGCGCGUAGGCGGCUAAUUAAGUCAAAUGUGAAAUCCCCGAGCUUAACUUGGGAAUUGCAUUCGAUACUGGUUAGCUAGAGUGUGGGAGAGGAUGGUAGAAUUCCAGGUGUAGCGGUGAAAUGCGUAGAGAUCUGGAGGAAUACCGAUGGCGAAGGCAGCCAUCUGGCCUAACACUGACGCUGAGGUGCGAAAGCAUGGGGAGCAAACAGGAUUAGAUACCCUGGUAGUCCAUGCCGUAAACGAUGUCUACUAGCCGUUGGGGCCUUUGAGGCUUUAGUGGCGCAGCUAACGCGAUAAGUAGACCGCCUGGGGAGUACGGUCGCAAGACUAAAACUCAAAUGAAUUGACGGGGGCCCGCACAAGCGGUGGAGCAUGUGGUUUAAUUCGAUGCAACGCGAAGAACCUUACCUGGCCUUGACAUAGUAAGAACUUUCCAGAGAUGGAUUGGUGCCUUCGGGAACUUACAUACAGGUGCUGCAUGGCUGUCGUCAGCUCGUGUCGUGAGAUGUUGGGUUAAGUCCCGCAACGAGCGCAACCCUUUUCCUUAUUUGCCAGCGAGUAAUGUCGGGAACUUUAAGGAUACUGCCAGUGACAAACUGGAGGAAGGCGGGGACGACGUCAAGUCAUCAUGGCCCUUACGGCCAGGGCUACACACGUGCUACAAUGGUCGGUACAAAGGGUUGCUACCUAGCGAUAGGAUGCUAAUCUCAAAAAGCCGAUCGUAGUCCGGAUUGGAGUCUGCAACUCGACUCCAUGAAGUCGGAAUCGCUAGUAAUCGCGGAUCAGAAUGCCGCGGUGAAUACGUUCCCGGGCCUUGUACACACCGCCCGUCACACCAUGGGGAGUUUGUUGCACCAGAAGUAGCUAGCCUAACUGCAAAGAGGGCGGUUACCACGGUGUGGCCGAUGACUGGGGUGAAUCUAGAAAAGAAACCCCACAGACAAAAAAAAAGAGGG
Molecule: ribosomal RNA, 1544 nt
Filed under: Acinetobacter sp. AHM1
Lineage: Bacteria; Pseudomonadati; Pseudomonadota; Gammaproteobacteria; Moraxellales; Moraxellaceae
Description: bacterial SSU rRNA
Rfam family: Bacterial small subunit ribosomal RNA
Source: RNAcentral